RNAcentral lists this microRNA precursor (100 nucleotides) under Felis catus (domestic cat). Its description in RNAcentral is "mir-544 microRNA precursor family". It matches the Rfam family "mir-544 microRNA precursor family". RNAcentral also lists the same sequence under 4 other names. Lineage: Eukaryota; Metazoa; Chordata; Mammalia; Carnivora; Felidae. The record is from Rfam by way of RNAcentral.
AUCACCUGGGGAUCUUGUUAAAGUGCAGAUUCUGAUUCAGUAGGUCUGAGCUGGGGCCCAAGAUUUCUGCAUUGUUAACAAAACUCCCAAGUGAUGCUUG